Molecule: long non-coding RNA, 930 nt
Filed under: Apteryx haastii (Great spotted kiwi)
Lineage: Eukaryota; Metazoa; Chordata; Aves; Apterygiformes; Apterygidae
Description: lncRNA (ENSAHAG00000006910.1)
Source: RNAcentral
GGGUUUUGGGGCACUUUAGCUGCACUUUGGGUCCCUCCAGGGAGCUGUCGGGGUAUCCCAGUGCCCCGGGGCGGUUUUGAGGUCGUUCCGGGUGUUUGCGGGUGACGUUUUCCCGCCUGCCGCCGCAGCCGCCGCUGGAGAGCCUGGCGACGGUGGAGGAGACGGUGGUGCGGGACAAGGCGGUGGAGUCGCUGCGGGCCGUGUCGCACGAGCACUCGCCCGCCGACCUCGAGGGCCACUUCGUGCCGCUGGUGAAGCGCCUGGCGGGCGGCGACUGGUUCACCUCGCGCACCUCCGCCUGCGGCCUCUUCAGCGUCUGCUACCCCCGCGUCUCCAGCCCCGUCAAGGCCGAGCUGCGCCAGUGAGUGUCCCCGGGUGUCCCCUGGCAUCCCCGGAGCGUCCCCAAGUUGCCCCAAGGGAGCCAUGGUGGCCUCAAGGUUCUCCAUGGUGGCACCAAGUUCCCUCCUGGUGACGCCAAGGUGGCCCCGAGCUCCUCGUUCCCCAUGGAUCUGGCACCAUCAAAGCUGAGCCAUGCCAGGGAGUGUCCCCAGAGUGUCUCCUGGUGUCCCCAAGUUGCCCCAAGCCAGCCCUGGUGGCCCCAAGUGAGCCGUGGUGGCACCAAGGUUCUCCGUGGUGGCACCAGGUUCCCUCCUGGUGGCCCCAAGGUGGCCCCGAGCCCCUCGUUCCCCAUGGAUCUGGCGCCAUCAAGGCUGAGCUGUGCCAAGGGGUGUCCCCAGGUGUCCCCAGAGUGUCCCCAAGUGUCUCCAAGUGAGCCAUGGUGGCACCGAGGUUCUCCAUGGUGGCACCAAGUUCCCUCCUGGUGACGCCAAGGUGGCCCCAGGUCCCUCGUUCCCCAUGGAUCUGGCACCAUUGAGGCCGAGCUGUGCCAAGGGGUGUCCCCAAGUGUCCCCAAGGCAGCCCCCGGUGACG